RNAcentral lists this ribosomal RNA (468 nucleotides) under uncultured bacterium. RNAcentral's name for it is "partial 16S ribosomal RNA". It matches the Rfam family "Bacterial small subunit ribosomal RNA", at positions 28 to 507 of the family's 1533-position model. The record is from RNAcentral.
GACGAACGCCGGCGGCGUGCUUAACACAUGCAAGUCGAACGGAAAGGCCCUGCUUUUGUGGGGUGCUCGAGUGGCGAACGGGUGAGUAACACGUGAGUAACCUGCCCUUGACUUUGGGAUAACUUCAGGAAACUGGGGCUAAUACCGGAUAGGAGCUCCUGCUGCAUGGUGGGGGUUGGAAAGUUUCGGCGGUUGGGGAUGGACUCGCGGCUUAUCAGCUUGUUGGUGGGGUAGUGGCUUACCAAGGCUUUGACGGGUAGCCGGCCUGAGAGGGUGACCGGCCACAUUGGGACUGAGGUACGGCCCAGACUCGUACGGGAGGCAGCAGUGGGGAAUAUUGCACAAUGGGCGGAAGCCUGAUGCAGCAACGCCGCGUGCGGGAUGACGGCCUUCGGGUUGUAAACCGCUUUCGCAUGUGACGAAGCGUGAGUGACGGUAAUGGGUAAAGAAGCACCGGCUAACUACGUG